GAUGAACGCUGGCGGCGUGCCUAAUACAUGCAAGUCGAGCGAACAGAUGCGGAGCUUGCUCCUCUGACGUUAGCGGCGGACGGGUGAGUAACACGUGGAUAACCUACCUAUAAGACUGGGAUAACUUCGGGAAACCGGAGCUAAUACCGGAUAAUAUAUUGCACCGCAUGGUUCAAUAGUGAAAGACGGUUUUGCUGUCACUUAUAGAUGGAUCCGCGCCGCAUUAGCUAGUCGGUAAGGUAACGGCUUACCAAGGCAACGAUGCGUAGACGACCGGAGAGAGUGGUAGCCGGCAUGGGAGCGUAGCCGGGGACCUUGGGACUACGAGACGGAGCAGACGGGAACCGGACGCAACAGUGGGAAGUCUGGCGCAGCGGCCGGACGCGUGAGAUGGAGGUCUUGCGUGCGUAAUACCGGGUUAUGGGUGGAAAACCAAUUUCGAAGUAGCCAUGGCCGGCGUGACGGUACCUGAUCAAGAAGCCCCGGCUAACUACGUG
RNAcentral lists this ribosomal RNA (497 nucleotides) under uncultured bacterium. Its description in RNAcentral is "partial 16S ribosomal RNA". It matches the Rfam family "Bacterial small subunit ribosomal RNA", at positions 28 to 507 of the family's 1533-position model. The record is from RNAcentral.